GUGUCUCCGCCGGUUGAAAGCGCGUGUCUGCGUCGGGUUCUGUUGGAGUGCGUUCGGUGUGCCGUGGGUCCGCGCUGCUUCCACCCAACUUCCUGUUAGUUUCUCUCCUGUCACAAUGGCAUGAUCUCGGCUCACUGCGACCUCUGCUUCCUGGGUUCAAGGAUUCUCCUGCCUCAGCCUCCCAAGUAGCUGGGAUUACAG
Molecule: long non-coding RNA, 201 nt
Filed under: Homo sapiens (human)
Lineage: Eukaryota; Metazoa; Chordata; Mammalia; Primates; Hominidae
Description: HSALNT0338769
Source: RNAcentral